Molecule: ribosomal RNA, 301 nt
Filed under: uncultured bacterium
Lineage: Bacteria
Description: partial 16S ribosomal RNA
Rfam family: Bacterial small subunit ribosomal RNA
Source: RNAcentral
CAGCCGCGCGGGAAUACGAAGGGUGCAAGCGUUAAUCGGAAUUACUGGGCGUAAAGCGUGCGUAGGCGGUUUGUUAAGUCUGUUGUGAAAUCCCCGGGCUCAACCUGGGAAUGGCAAUGGAUACUGGCAAGCUAGAGUGUGUCAGAGGAUAGUGGAAUUCCCGGUGUAGCGGUGAAAUGCGUAGAGAUCGGGAGGAACAGCAGUGGCGAAGGCGGCCAUCUGGGACAACACUGACGCUGAGGCACGAAAGCGUGGGGAGCAAACAGGAUUAGAUACCCCCGUAGUCCCUGUCUCUUAUACA